GGUGGUUCUUGGGUGACACCCCCCGGAAUUGGGCUCCCUCUACUCUGGUUCCAGGUGUGUCACCCGAAAACCAUA
Non-coding RNA from Myotis davidii, 75 nucleotides. Lineage: Eukaryota; Metazoa; Chordata; Mammalia; Chiroptera; Vespertilionidae. The record is from Rfam.